Molecule: non-coding RNA, 24 nt
Filed under: Mus musculus (house mouse)
Lineage: Eukaryota; Metazoa; Chordata; Mammalia; Rodentia; Muridae
Also listed under: 2 other names
Source: RNAcentral
UCCCUGAGACCCUAACUUGUGAGG